This 74-nucleotide transfer RNA is filed under the name Ijimaia dofleini. RNAcentral describes it as "tRNA-Asn". It matches the Rfam family "tRNA". From Rfam's summary of the family: Transfer RNA (tRNA) molecules are approximately 80 nucleotides in length. Their secondary structure includes four short double-helical elements and three loops (D, anti-codon, and T loops). Further hydrogen bonds mediate the characteristic L-shaped molecular structure. tRNAs have two regions of fundamental functional importance: the anti-codon, which is responsible for specific mRNA codon recognition, and the 3' end, to which the tRNAs corresponding amino acid is attached (by aminoacyl-tRNA synthetases). tRNAs cope with the degeneracy of the genetic code in two manners: having more than one tRNA (with a specific anti-codon) for a particular amino acid; and 'wobble' base-pairing, i.e. permitting non-standard base-pairing at the 3rd anti-codon position. Lineage: Eukaryota; Metazoa; Chordata; Actinopteri; Ateleopodiformes; Ateleopodidae. RNAcentral also lists the same sequence under 1 other name. The record is from RNAcentral.
UAGAUGAAUGCUCGCUGGUUUAGGGCGUUUAGCUGUUAACUAAAAGUUUGUAGGAUCGAGGCCUUCUCAUCUAG